This 126-nucleotide non-coding RNA is filed under the name Novosphingobium sp. RNAcentral describes it as "TPP sequence". It matches the Rfam family "TPP riboswitch aptamer (THI element)". From Rfam's summary of the family: Vitamin B(1) in its active form thiamin pyrophosphate (TPP) is an essential coenzyme that is synthesised by coupling of pyrimidine and thiazole moieties in bacteria. The previously detected thiamin-regulatory element, thi box was extended, resulting in a new, highly conserved RNA secondary structure, the THI element, which is widely distributed in eubacteria and also occurs in some archaea. Analysis of operon structures identified a large number of new candidate thiamin-regulated genes, mostly transporters, in various prokaryotic organisms. The record is from RNAcentral. Lineage: Bacteria; Pseudomonadati; Pseudomonadota; Alphaproteobacteria; Sphingomonadales; Sphingomonadaceae.
CGCCCUACCCCGGGGAGCCUAGCAGGGUCCAAGCGGACUCUGGGCUGAGAGGUGUGGGUAUGCUCCACACGACCCGUCGAACCUGAACCCGUUAAUACGGGCGGAGGGAGUGGACGCGGUUUCGUG